This is a long non-coding RNA of Rhinolophus ferrumequinum (greater horseshoe bat), 1021 nucleotides long. RefSeq lists it as uncharacterized. Lineage: Eukaryota; Metazoa; Chordata; Mammalia; Chiroptera; Rhinolophidae. The record is from RefSeq and is a predicted model, not a curated record. The transcript has 3 exons.
GGGUGGAUAACUAUUAUGAAAAGUGAGAUCCAACUGGACUAGUACCCAGAGAUGUGCAAAUUUGAGUGAAAUUUGGGGCCCCCUCCUGGCCAAUGUGGUUUUCGCAUCUUUAACUCCCGCAGCUGUCCAGGUUGUAUCCCUUUCUGUCCCUGGCUGACCUCUGGCAGAGACAAGCAGGAGGGCGUGGAACUGAUAACCUGCCAAUCUACAGACUGAUCACCAUGGUCCUCCACUGAAGGUCCUGGUGUCAGAAGUUCUGCAGUGGAAAACAAGAGGUGACAACAGGCUGGACUAGGAUGAUGGUCUUGGAUGGAGCAAAGGGAAUUUUAGAAGGUAUAGAUCCAAGAGAAAUCAAUGCAUAUGUCCACCAAAAAAUGUAUGAAAAUAUUUACAGCAGCAUUAUUCAUAAUAACUCAAAACUGAAAGCCACCCUAAUGUCCACCAAGGCUGAGUGGAUUAAUAAAUGAUUACAUUCAUACAACAGAAUACUGUAUACCAAUGAUAAAGAACAAACAAUUGUUACACGCAACGACCUGGAUAAAGCUGACAGACACAAUACUGAGCAAAAAAGACAGACCCUUAGGGUACGUACUGUAUGAUUUCAUUUACAUAAAGUUCCAAACAGCCAAAAUUAAUUGAUGGCACUAGAGGUCAUCUAAGCGGUUACCUCUGCGAAGUUUGAACUGGGAGGAGCCACAAAGAAGUGUGGGGUGCUGGGAACGAUCUCCAUCUUGAUCUGGGUGGAGGUUUUAAGCUUAUGUGCCAGCGUUGAGUAUGUAUAGCAUACCCUGCUAGGCACUGAAUGUCUCUGUCUCCCCGAACUUCAUGUGUUGAAACCCUAAUCUCCAAUGUGAUGGUAUUUGGAGAUGGGGACUUUGAGAGGUAAUUAGGUCACGAGGGUGAUGCCCUCCUGAUGGCAUUAGUGUCCUUAUAAGAAGAGACACAUGAGAGCUUGUUUCCUCUUCCGACCCCCAUGUGAGGAAACCAGAAAGAGGGCCCUCACUAGAAAUUAUCCAUGUUG